Molecule: long non-coding RNA, 1266 nt
Filed under: Sus scrofa (pig)
Lineage: Eukaryota; Metazoa; Chordata; Mammalia; Artiodactyla; Suidae
Description: lncRNA (ENSSSCG00070027203.1)
Source: RNAcentral
UUGCCUCUUUCUUGGGGUGGAUUUCACUGCUGAUGCUCCCCUCACUGGCCAAGAAUACUUCUGCCCGUGCCAUCCAGGUUGAGUGGGUGGCAGGGGAGGCCACCAUGAAUUCCAUCAGACUGGCAACGAACACUAGUUGCCGAACUCCAGGCAAGGUGGGAAUCUCUUUGGAUCUGUGGCCUCGUCUGCACCACGGAGGGCAUAACAGGAAGUUCACAGCUUGGCUGCUCAUCAGCUGUGUGAUGUGGGGGUGUAAAUACUUCUAAGGCAAGGCAGAUUUUCUUUGGGUCUCCUCCUGGGAAUAGGCUUCCCAUGCGGCAUGACCCUACUCUGGGUCUUCAUUUCUUCUUGGUGACGUUAGGGGACAGAAAUAGACAAUCUCGAAGGUGUCCUCAAUGAUUUCAUCAUUUCAUGUACAAAUUUCCUUUACACUUGCCACAGACAAGCCUGGCUCCCGUAAGCACACACCCUGGCAAGCACCCUGACAUGCCCUCACACCCUCCGUGUCCAUCUACGCUGGAGAAGCAGGGCCCCCUGUCCUGCAGGGUGGGCUUUCAGACCCUGCCUGCUGGCAUCCUGCCAGGGUUAGGAGGUGCAUCUGAGAAAUGGCUCCAGCCCUGAUCAGCACCCCCUUCUAUGAAGGCCUCCUGGAUGGAGGUGAGGGUGCUUCAUAUGAUGGGUGGGUCACCCACUAUUAUUGAAAAUAUAUGGUGUGGGAGUUUCUGUUGCAGCUCAGUGGGUUAAGAACCCAACAUAGUAUCUGAGGAUGUGGGUUCAAUCCCUGGCCUCACUCAGUGGGUUAAGAAUAUGGCAUUGCCAUGAGCUGUGGUGUAGGUCACAGAUGCGGUUCCAAUUCAACCCCUAGGCUGGGAACUUCCAUAUGCUGUACAUGCAACCCUAAAAAGCAAAUUAAAAAAAAAAAAAAAAAAAGGAAAAGACAGAAAAUACAUGAUGACUUCAUGGGAAGGAGCACAGGUUGAAUUUGCCUCUGAUAUCCCUGUCUCCUGAAAUCCCCCUGCAGCUCCACCAAAGGAAUUUUUAAUGGCCUGGAGAGAAUGGGAGAGGACAACUCAGAGAAAACUUCUGGAAUCUGGAAAGGAAAUAAGAGUGUUAACUGACUUAGCAGACAUGAGGAAGCAGAAUCUUAAGUCAGCAGGGGAAAGCAGAUUUACACCACAAAAUCCCCCCCAAGGGCUGUGAAAUGCUAACCUAGAGCACCUCUAGAAAUAGGGGAUAAGGGAGGAGCCUAAAGAAGGGUUAAUGGAA